AUUGAACGCUGGCGGCAGGCUUAACACAUGCAAGUCGAACGAUGAUUAUCUAGCUUGCUAGAUAUGAUUAGUGGCGGACGGGUGAGUAACAUUUAGGAAUCUGCCUAGUAGUGGGGGAUAGCUCGGGGAAACUCGAAUUAAUACCGCAUACGACCUACGGGUGAAAGGGGGCGCAAGCUCUUGCUAUUAGAUGAGCCUAAAUCAGAUUAGCUAGUUGGUGGGGUAAAGGCCCACCAAGGCGACGAUCUGUAACUGGUCUGAGAGGAUGAUCAGUCACACCGGAACUGAGACACGGUCCGGACUCCUACGGGAGGCAGCAGUGGGGAAUAUUGGACAAUGGGGGCAACCCUGAUCCAGCCAUGCCGCGUGUGUGAAGAAGGCCUUUUGGUUGUAAAGCACUUUAAGCAGGGAGGAGAGGCUAAUGGUUAAUACCCAUUAGAUUAGACGUUACCUGCAGAAUAAGCACCGGCUAACUCUGUGCCAGCAGCCGCGGUAAUACAGAGGGUGCGAGCGUUAAUCGGAAUUACUGGGCGUAAAGCGAGUGUAGGUGGCUCAUUAAAUCACAUGUGAAAUCCCCGGGCUUAACCUGGGAACUGCAUGUGAUACUGGUGGUGCUAGAAUAUGUGAGAGGGAAGUAGAAUUCCAGGUGUAGCGGUGAAAUGCGUAGAGAUCUGGAGGAAUACCGAUGGCGAAGGCAGCUUCCUGGCAUAAUAUUGACACUGAGAUUCGAAAGCGUGGGUAGCAAACAGGAUUAGAUACCCUGGUAGUCCACGCCGUAAACGAUGUCUACUAGCCGUUGGGGUCCUUGAGACUUUAGUGGCGCAGUUAACGCGAUAAGUAGACCGCCUGGGGAGUACGGCCGCAAGGUUAAAACUCAAAUGAAUUGACGGGGGCCCGCACAAGCGGUGGAGCAUGUGGUUUAAUUCGAUGCAACGCGAAGAACCUUACCUGGUCUUGACAUAGUGAGAAUCCUGCAGAGAUGCGGGAGUGCCUUCGGGAAUUCACAUACAGGUGCUGCAUGGCUGUCGUCAGCUCGUGUCGUGAGAUGUUGGGUUAAGUCCCGCAACGAGCGCAACCCUUUUCCUUAUUUGCCAGCGGGUUAAGCCGGGAACUUUAAGGAUACUGCCAGUGACAAACUGGAGGAAGGCGGGGACGACGUCAAGUCAUCAUGGCCCUUACGACCAGGGCUACACACGUGCUACAAUGGUAGGUACAGAGGGUUGCUACACAGCGAUGUGAUGCUAAUCUCAAAAAGCCUGUCGUAGUCCGGAUUGGAGUCUGCAACUCGACUCCAUGAAGUCGGAAUCGCUAGUAAUCGCAGAUCAGAAUGCUGCGGUGAAUACGUUCCCGGGCCU
RNAcentral lists this ribosomal RNA (1355 nucleotides) under uncultured bacterium. Its description in RNAcentral is "bacterial SSU rRNA". It matches the Rfam family "Bacterial small subunit ribosomal RNA", at positions 28 to 1381 of the family's 1533-position model. The record is from RNAcentral.